AACGAACGCUGGCGGCAUGCCUAACACAUGCAAGUCGAACGAGACCUUCGGGUCUUGUGUCGCACGGGUGCGUAACGCGUGGGAACCUUCCCUUAUGUUCGGCAUAACUCCCCGAAAGGGGUGCUAAUACCGGAUCAUGUCUUCUGACCAAAGAUUUAUCGCCUUUGGAUGGUCCCGCGUUGGAUUAGCUAGUUGGUAGGGUAAAAGCCUACCAAGGCGAGGAUCCAUAGCUGGUCUGAGAGGAAGAUCAGCCACACUGAGACUGGGACACGGCCCAGACUCCUACGGGAGGGAGCAGUGGGGAAUAUUGGACAAUGGGCGGAAGCAUGAUGCAGCAAUGACGCGUGAGUGAUGAAAGCAUUAAGGUUGUAAAGCUCUUUUAACCGGGAUGAUAAUGACAGUACCGGGAGAAUAAGCUCCGGCUAACUCCGUG
RNAcentral lists this ribosomal RNA (433 nucleotides) under uncultured bacterium. RNAcentral describes it as "partial 16S ribosomal RNA". It matches the Rfam family "Bacterial small subunit ribosomal RNA", at positions 29 to 507 of the family's 1533-position model. The record is from RNAcentral.